RNAcentral lists this long non-coding RNA (210 nucleotides) under Salvia miltiorrhiza (redroot sage). RNAcentral describes it as "long non-coding RNA (SMIL_LNC003457)". Lineage: Eukaryota; Viridiplantae; Streptophyta; Magnoliopsida; Lamiales; Lamiaceae. The record is from RNAcentral.
CUCCUUGAUUGAUGGGUGCAAAGCUCCAAAGCUCCAAAGCUCCAAGAAAAGCUCCUUGAUUGAUGGGUGCAAAGCUCCAAAGCUCCAAAGCUCCAAGAAAAGCUCCUUGAUUGAUGGGUGCAAAGCUCCAAAGCUCCAAGAAAAGCCCCUUGAUUGAUAGGUGCAAAGCUCCAAAGAUGCCAACCAAAGCUCCAAGAUUGAUGCGUGCAA